This 497-nucleotide ribosomal RNA is filed under the name uncultured bacterium. Its description in RNAcentral is "partial 16S ribosomal RNA". It matches the Rfam family "Bacterial small subunit ribosomal RNA", at positions 28 to 507 of the family's 1533-position model. The record is from RNAcentral.
GAUGAACGCUGGCGGCGUGCCUAAUACAUGCAAGUCGAGCGAACGGACGAGAAGCUUGCUUCUCUGAUGUUAGCGGCGGACGGGUGAGUAACACGUGGAUAACCUACCUAUAAGACUGGCAUAACUUCGGGAAACCGGAGCUAGUACCGGAUAAUAUUUUGAACCGCAUGGUUCAAAAGUGAAAGACGGUCUUGCUGUCACUUAUAGAUGGAUCCGCGCUGCAUUAGCUAGUUGGUAAGGUAACGUCUUACCAAGGCAACGAUGCAUAGCCGACCUGAGAGGGUGAUCGGCCACACUGGAACUGAGACACGGUCCAGACUCCUACGGGAGGCAGCAGUAGGGAAUCUUCCGCAAUGGGCGAAAGCCUGACGGAGCAACGCCGCGUGAGUGAUGAAGGUCUUCGGAUCGUAAAACUCUGUUAUUAGGGAAGAACAUAUGUGUAAGUAACUGUGCACAUCUUGACGGUACCUAAUCAGAAAGCCACGGCUAACUACGUG